CGCGAAGGGCUCAUUAUAACAGCUACCCUUUACUUGAUCUUGACACUAUCCUACUUGGAUAACUGUGGUAAUUCUAGAGCUGAUACAUGCAUUAAAGCUCUGACCUCACGGGAAGAGUGCACUUAUUAGAACAAAACCAAGCGGCUUCGGCUGUUUUCGGUUGACUCAUAGUAACUGAGCUGAUCGCACGGUCUUGCACCGGCGACGUGUCUUUCAAGUAUCUGCCGUAUCAACUUUCGAUGGUAGUGUAUCUGACUACCAUGGUGAUCACGCGUAACGGAGAAUAAGGGUUCGGCUCCGGAGAGUUCGCCUGAGAAAUCGCGAACACAUCUAAGGAAGGCAGCAGGCGCGAAAACUACCCACUCUCAGCACGAGGAGGUAGUGACGAAAAAUAACGAGACCGUUCUCUUAUGAGGCCGGUCAUCGGAAUGGGUACAAUUUAAACCCUUUAACGAGUAUCUAUGAGAGGGCAAGUCUGGUGCCAGCAGCCGCGGUAAUUCCAGCU
Molecule: ribosomal RNA, 505 nt
Filed under: Acrobeloides sp. PS-1146
Lineage: Eukaryota; Metazoa; Nematoda; Chromadorea; Rhabditida; Cephalobidae
Description: SSU rRNA
Rfam family: Eukaryotic small subunit ribosomal RNA
Source: RNAcentral